UUUGACUAUGUGUUUGGACCUUGGUCAAGUUUGAUUUGACUUUUGUUGGGUUAAAAUCAUUGGAUUUAGGGGAUUGAUGAAAUGUACAUUUCAGAUCCCAAAAUGAAUGAAUUAUUUUAAUUUGAUAAAAUUUCUCCCAUGACCAAUUUGUGUUUGUCUCAUUUCCCCUCCCUCUUCAUCUUCAAUCCCAUUAUGUCCC
RNAcentral lists this long non-coding RNA (199 nucleotides) under Lathyrus oleraceus (garden pea). Its description in RNAcentral is "Pisum sativum (pea) long non-coding RNA (PSAT_LNC001932)". The record is from RNAcentral. Lineage: Eukaryota; Viridiplantae; Streptophyta; Magnoliopsida; Fabales; Fabaceae.